AGAGUUUGAUCAUGGCUCAGAAUCAACGCUGGCGGCAUGCCUAACACAUGCAAGUCGAGCGAGAAAGGGUAGCAAUACCUGAGUAAAGCGGCGCACGGGUGAGUAACACGUGGAUAACCUGCCUCAAAGUGGGGAAUAACACCGGGAAACCGGUGCUAAUACCGCAUAUUCUGAUGAAGUCUGAGGAUUUUGUCAGUAAAGGAGCAAUUCGCUAUGAGAGGGGUCCGCGGCUGAUUAGCUAGUUGGUGAGGUAAUGGCUCACCAAGGCAACGAUCAGUAGCCGGUCUGAGAGGACGGUCGGCCACACUGGAACUGAGACACGGUCCAGACUCCUACGGGAGGCAGCAGUGGGGAAUUUUUCGCAAUGGGGGCAACCCUGACGAAGCAAUGCCGCGUGGAUGAUGAAGUAUUUCGGUACGUAAAAUCCUUUCGACGGGGACGAAACCGCAAGGUUGACGGUACCCGUAGAAGAAGCCCCGGCUAACUCCGUGCCAGCAGCCGCGGUA
RNAcentral lists this ribosomal RNA (506 nucleotides) under uncultured Acidobacteriota bacterium. Its description in RNAcentral is "bacterial SSU rRNA". It matches the Rfam family "Bacterial small subunit ribosomal RNA", at positions 8 to 522 of the family's 1533-position model. Lineage: Bacteria; Pseudomonadati; Acidobacteriota. The record is from RNAcentral.